GCAUAUCAAUAAGCGGAGGAAAAGAAACCAACAGGGAUUGCCCUAGUAACGGCGAGUGAAGCGGCAACAGCUCAAAUUUGAAAUCUGGCUUCGGCCCGAGUUGUAAUUUGCAGAGGAUGUUUAUGGUGCGGUACUUUCCGAGUUCCCUGGAACGGGACGCCACAGAGGGUGAGAGCCCCGUCUGGAUGGAUACCAAACCUGUGUUAAACUCCUUCAACGAGUCGAGUAGUUUGGGAAUGCUGCUCUAAAUGGGAGGUAAAUCUCUUCUAAAGCUAAAUAUAGGCCAGAGACCGAUAGCGCACAAGUAGAGUGAUCGAAAGAUGAAAAGCACCUUGAAAAGGGGGUUAAACAGUACGUGAAAUUGUUGAAAGGGAAGCGUUUAUGACCAGACUUGUGUCGUGUGGCUCAUCCGAGGUUCUCCCCGGUGCACUCCACGCGGCUCAGGCCAACAUCGGUUUUUGUCGGAGGAAAAGAAUAGUAGGAACGUAGCUCUUCCUCGGAAGAGUGUUAUAGCCUAUUAUACGAUACUUUGAUAGAGACCGAGGACCGCGCUUCGGCUAGGAUGUUGGCGUAAUGGUCAUUAGCGACCCGUCUUGAAACACGGACCAAGGAGUCGUCCAUUAGAGCGAGCGUUUGGGUGUAAAACCCGCACGCGUAAUGAAAGUGAAAUUAGGUGAGAGCUUCGGCGCAUCAUCGACCGAUCCUGAAGUUUACGGAUGGAUUUGAGUAAGAGUUUUAACGGACGGACCCGAAAGACAGUGAACUAUGCUUGAAUAGGGUGAAGCCAGAGGAAACUCUGGUGGAGGCUCGCAGCGGUUCUGACGUGCAAAUCGAUCGUCAAAUUUGAGCAUGGGGGCGAAAGACUAAUCGAACUGUCUAGUAGCUGGUUACCGCCGA
RNAcentral lists this ribosomal RNA (897 nucleotides) under Apiognomonia errabunda. Its description in RNAcentral is "LSU rRNA". It matches the Rfam family "Eukaryotic large subunit ribosomal RNA", at positions 38 to 964 of the family's 3401-position model. Lineage: Eukaryota; Fungi; Ascomycota; Sordariomycetes; Diaporthales; Gnomoniaceae. The record is from RNAcentral.